Molecule: long non-coding RNA, 949 nt
Filed under: Neogale vison (American mink)
Lineage: Eukaryota; Metazoa; Chordata; Mammalia; Carnivora; Mustelidae
Description: Neovison vison (American mink) lncRNA (ENSNVIG00000007625.1)
Source: RNAcentral
CCAGGUCUCCAGGACGGGUGACGUGCCCUCCAGCCACCGAAGGCCGGCGGGAGGCUGCGCUCGGAGGGACAUGACAUGGUCUGGUGUGACGGUGAGGAGGGACGUGAUGCCGUCCGGCCUUCCUGAACAUUCUAGGCUGGCCCGCGGGUGUCAGAACACCUAUAGGUCUCACUCCUUGGCCUUCCUGGAGGAGUCCACACACUGCUGCUCUCUGGACCUCUAGAACCCUCACAUCGACAAGAAAUGGUGCUACCCAGCUCAUGCCUGGGCCUUGGAACCGGGACUUCUUCAAGUCCUUCUAGCUCUGACUCGAGAACAUGCUGCAUUCUGGAACCACUUCACGACCCGACUCAGGAAUCGGCUCCGGAAGGUGAAGCUCAAGGAGCAAGAGCAGCCAGACAGCACCACCGUCGGCACGAGCCCGCGGCGACCGUCACCCCCCGCCUGGCAGCGUCAUCUCUGUGGCCACCCUGCCGUGGCCGGGCCACCACCAGCCGCCACGCCCCAACGCCCCUCACCCUCCUUCUCUUCUUCCUUUCCUCUGUUCUCUCAUUUCUUUUCUUUGCUUUCCUUUGUGCCCGGGACACGCAAAGCCGCCAUGACUCUGUUUCCCCGUCCCUUCCGUACUCAAUUUGCACUAAGUCGUUUGCACUGGUUUGGAGUCAUGGAACCGGCCUCGAGUCCCCGAGCGAGUGUGCCAACUGCUGAGUGUGCUGGCCUCUGCGGCCCGCCCCGCGCCCGGCACCCUCCUGCCGUCCACCUCGGGGGGCUGCCUGGGUGCGGUCGUGUGUGGGAGGCCCCAACCCCCCCUCGCCUGGUCUGCAAGCCCCUGGCACGGAGUGACCUCAUGCAGCUCCGUGGUAGAGCCCCUCGCCUGUGCCCCUCCCCACCAGGGCUUCACCAGAAGCCUUGGCCUCAUCAAUAAAUACAGUUACAGCAAUUUGUCUCA